CUGGUAGUGGGGGACAACCCGGUGAAAACCGGGCUAAUACCGCAUACGAUCCACGGAUGAAAGCAGGGGACCGCAAGGCCUUGCGCUAUCAGAUGAGCCUGCGUCGGAUUAGCUAGUUGGUGAGGUAACGGCUCACCAAGGCGACGAUCCGUAGCUGGUUUGAGAGAACGACCAGCCACACCGGAACUGAGACACGGUCCGGACUCCUACGGGAGGCAGCAGUGGGGAAUAUUGGACAAUGGGGGCAACCCUGAUCCAGCAAUGCCGCGUGUGUGAAGAAGGCCUUCGGGUUGUAAAGCACUUUCGGUGGGGACAAACAAGGCGGAGCUAACAUCUCCGUCCCUGAUGGUACCCAAAGAAGAAGCACCGGCUAACUCUGUGCCAGCAGCCGCGGUAAUACAGAGGGUGCAAGCGUUAAUCGGAAUUACUGGGCGUAAAGGGUGCGUAGGUGGUUUGUUAAGUCAGGCGUGAAAUCCUCGGGCUCAACCUGGGAACUGCGCUUGAUACUGGCAGACUCGAGUGUGGUAGAGGAUAGUGGAAUUCCCGGUGUAGCGGUGAAAUGCGUAGAUAUCGGGAGGAACAUCAGUGGCGAAGGCGGCUAUCUGGACUAACACUGACACUGA
RNAcentral lists this ribosomal RNA (623 nucleotides) under uncultured Gammaproteobacteria bacterium. RNAcentral's name for it is "bacterial SSU rRNA". It matches the Rfam family "Bacterial small subunit ribosomal RNA", at positions 130 to 749 of the family's 1533-position model. The record is from RNAcentral. Lineage: Bacteria; Pseudomonadati; Pseudomonadota; Gammaproteobacteria.